AUACGAAGGGGGCUAGCGUUGUUCGGAUUUACUGGGCGUAAAGCGCACGAAGGCGGAUUGAUUAGUUAGGGGUGAAAUCCCGAGGCUCAACCUCGGAACUGCCUUUAAUACUGUCAAUCUCGAGACCGGAAGAGGUGAGUGGAACUCCUAGUGUAGAGGUGGAAUUCGUAGAUAUUAGGAAGAACACCAGUGGCGAAGGCGGCUCACUGGUCCGGUACUGACGCUGAGGUGCGAAAGCGUGGGGAGCGAACAGGAUUAGAUACCCUAGUAGUCC
This 274-nucleotide ribosomal RNA is filed under the name uncultured bacterium. RNAcentral's name for it is "partial 16S ribosomal RNA". It matches the Rfam family "Bacterial small subunit ribosomal RNA", at positions 523 to 796 of the family's 1533-position model. The record is from RNAcentral.